CAUUACCGAGCUCGCGCCCCCCGGGGCCGACCUCCCACCCUUUGUCUACCGUACCCGUGUUGCUUUGGCGGGCCGCCCUCGUGGCCACCGGCCCCCCGCUGGUGAGCGCCCGCCGGAGACCCAAACCCAGUCUGCUGUCCGUGGCAUUGUCUGACCAAACCUGAAAUCGUUAAAACUUUCAACAACGGAUCUCUUGGCUCUAGCAUCGAUGAAGAACGCAGCGAAAUGCGAUAAGUAAUGUGAAUUGCAGAAUUCAGUGAAUCAUCGAAUCUUUGAACGCACAUUGCGCCCCCUGGUAUUCCGGGGGGCAUGCCUGUCCGAGCGUCAUUACACCCCUCAAGCCCCGCUUGGUGUUGGGCCAUGCCACCCGGCAAGCCUUAAAUCUAGUAGCGAUCCCGUCCCGGGCCCCCGCGCAGUAGCGAUCCUCGCGCGGGCCCGGGCGGGUGUCGGCCAGCAACCACUCUCUUGUUG
RNAcentral lists this ribosomal RNA (471 nucleotides) under uncultured fungus. RNAcentral's name for it is "eukaryotic LSU rRNA". The stretch from base 174 to 327 matches the Rfam family "5.8S ribosomal RNA". The record is from RNAcentral. Lineage: Eukaryota; Fungi.